RNAcentral lists this transfer RNA (62 nucleotides) under Nippostrongylus brasiliensis. It matches the Rfam family "tRNA". Rfam says of the family: Transfer RNA (tRNA) molecules are approximately 80 nucleotides in length. The record is from Rfam by way of RNAcentral. Lineage: Eukaryota; Metazoa; Nematoda; Chromadorea; Rhabditida; Heligmosomidae.
GAUACCGUGACACACUCAGGACUCUGAAUCCUGCGACGGGAGUUCAAAUCUCCCCGGGACCU